Molecule: transfer RNA, 57 nt
Filed under: Diaphorina citri (Asian citrus psyllid)
Lineage: Eukaryota; Metazoa; Arthropoda; Insecta; Hemiptera; Psyllidae
Rfam family: tRNA
About the family: Transfer RNA (tRNA) molecules are approximately 80 nucleotides in length.
Source: Rfam by way of RNAcentral
UGGCGUAGUGGCCAAUGCACUCGCCUUGCACGCGGGAGACCCGGGUUCGAUUCCCGG